This is a long non-coding RNA of Daphnia pulex (common water flea), 783 nucleotides long. RefSeq lists it as uncharacterized. NCBI's taxonomy places the organism in Eukaryota, Metazoa, Arthropoda, Branchiopoda, Diplostraca, Daphniidae. The record is from RefSeq and is a predicted model, not a curated record. The transcript is spliced from 4 exons.
AAUAACUUUGGUACUCACGUAAUAUUCUCCAUGCAAAAUUUCAUCAAAAAGCCACCAUGCAGCAUCACACAUCACUAAAGACGAAAUCCCCAAGGUGAUAUUGAACGCCACUAAAGGAGAAGGCACUCGAGACAGAUAUCCGUUGUCUGCAAGUGAUUCCAGACGUUUCAGCACCUGGGCAACAGUGCUGGACAGUGGAUUGCUGAAAGGGAAAACACCCUCAGCUGGCUACGUAUACUACAAGGCAACAACAAGCAUUAAGUCAAUCACAAAUGAUGAUGAUGACAAAUCCGUUCCACACUACCCUGUCUCACAACAGCAGCAUGUUCCUGGCUCAUUUGAUCCUCACUCCAGGGACUGGGCAUCUAAUUAAAUUAAUAUUUACCUGUAUGAACAUUUUAGCUUGUAAUAACAAUUUCUUUUUUUCUGUAGGUUCGAUGGCCAUUGAUAAUUGGAGAGCAGCUUUGGAAUGCAAUAGCUUGUCUGGCUUCGUCUGGUCCUAAGUUACACCAAACAGAACACAGGAUCUAAACAAAUUUAGAUUAAGAUUUUUUAGACUUAAUGUUUCAGCUGAAGUUUUUGUGUGACCUAGCACCUAGGUGCUUGUGACAAUAGAAAUCAAGGCUAAUUAUAAUAUUUCAGGUUAACUUCCUGUGGUAAAUCUUCAAGAUAUUGAUUAUUGAUGCCUUCCCCAGAUCCAAUUUAUUAUAAAUUAUAAAGAGUUUCAAGUACAGUAGACAAUUAAUCAAGUACACAGUGAGAGAUAAAAAAUAUUGCUUUGAA